This 276-nucleotide ribosomal RNA is filed under the name uncultured Synechococcus sp. Its description in RNAcentral is "partial 16S ribosomal RNA". It matches the Rfam family "Bacterial small subunit ribosomal RNA", at positions 1259 to 1533 of the family's 1533-position model. Lineage: Bacteria; Bacillati; Cyanobacteriota; Cyanophyceae; Synechococcales; Synechococcaceae. The record is from RNAcentral.
GAGGACAAGCAAAUCCCAUAAACCGUGGCUCAGUUCAGAUCGUAGGCUGCAACUCGCCUACGUGAAGGAGGAAUCGCUAGUAAUCGCAGGUCAGCAUACUGCGGUGAAUACGUUCCCGGGCCUUGUACACACCGCCCGUCACACCAUGGAAGUUGGCCACGCCCGAAGCCGUUACUCCAACCCUUGUGGAGGAGGACGUCGAAGGUGGGGCUGAUGACUGGGGUGAAGUCGUAACAAGGUAUCCGUACCGGAAGGUGCGGAUGGAUCACCUCCUAA